AGGACGAACGCUGGCGGCGUGCCUAACACAUGCAAGUCGAACGGGGAUUUGUUCGGCAGAAUCCUAGUGGCGAACGGGUGAGUAACGCGUAUGCAACCUGCCCCCCGACCGGGACAAAACAGCUGGAAACGGCUGCUAAUAUCCCAUGGCUACCCCGGGUGGCAUCACCUGGUGUAUAAAGAUUCAUUGGCCGGGGAUGGGCAUGCGUAUUAUUAGGUAGUUGGUGGGGUAACGGCCCACCAAGCCGACGAUGAUUAGGGGUUCUGAGAGGAUUAACCCCCACACUGGAACUGAGACACGGUCCAGACUCCUACGGGAGGCAGCAGUAGGGAAUAUUGGGCAAUGGAGGCAACUCUGACCCAGCCAUGCCCGCGUGAAGGAAGACGGCCCUAUGGGUUGUAAACUUCUUUUAUCGUGGAGUAAACCCGGCCACGUGUGGCCGGUUGAGAGUACACGAGGAAUAAGUAUCGGCUAACUCCGUGCCAGCCGCAGC
This 493-nucleotide ribosomal RNA is filed under the name uncultured bacterium. RNAcentral's name for it is "bacterial SSU rRNA". It matches the Rfam family "Bacterial small subunit ribosomal RNA", at positions 26 to 518 of the family's 1533-position model. The record is from RNAcentral.